CCUACGGGUGGCAGCAGUCGAGAAUCAUUCACAAUGGGGGAAACCCUGAUGGUGCGACGCCGCGUGGGGGAAUGAAGGUCUUCGGAUUGUAAACCCCUGUCAUGUGGGAGCAAAUUAAAAAGAUAGUACCACAAGAGGAAGAGACGGCUAACUCUGUGCCAGCAGCCGCGGUAAUACAGAGGUCGCAAGCGGUGUUCGGAAUCACUGGGCGGAAAGCGUGCGUAGGCUGUUUCGUAAGUCGUGUGUGAAAGGCGCGGGCUCAACCCGCGGACGGCACCUGAGACUGGGAGACUAGAGUAAUGGAGGGGGAACCGGAAUUCUCGGUGUAGCAGUGAAAUGCGUAGAUAUCGAGAGGAACACUCGUGGCGAAGGCGGGUUCCUGGACAUUAACUGACGCUGAGGCACGAAGGCCAGGGGAGCGAAAGGGAUUAGAUACCCCUGUAGUC
Molecule: ribosomal RNA, 446 nt
Filed under: uncultured bacterium
Lineage: Bacteria
Description: partial 16S ribosomal RNA
Rfam family: Bacterial small subunit ribosomal RNA
Source: RNAcentral